This 491-nucleotide ribosomal RNA is filed under the name uncultured bacterium. RNAcentral's name for it is "partial 16S ribosomal RNA". It matches the Rfam family "Bacterial small subunit ribosomal RNA", at positions 899 to 1397 of the family's 1533-position model. The record is from RNAcentral.
ACUCAAAUGAAUAGACGGGGACCCGCACAACUGGUGGAGCGUGUGGUUUAAUUCGAGACAAAGCGAAAAACCUUACCAGGGCUUGACAUGCUAUCGUUUUAUUCCUUUGGAAACAAGGGAAGAUCCGCAAGGAUGAUAGUGCAGGUGCUGCAUGGCUGUCGUCAGCUCGUGCCGUGAGGUGUUCCCUUAAGUGGGGAAACGAGCGCAACCCCCGCGAAAUGUUACAUAUUCAUUUCGGACAGCCCCGAUUUAAUCGGGGAGGAAGGAGGGGAAGACGUCAAGUCAGCACGGCCCUUAUGCCCUGGGUUACACACACCCUACAAUGGCGAAAAACAAUGGGCAGCAAGCCGGCAACGGCAAGCAAAUCCCACAAAUUUCGUCUCAGUUCAGAUUGGGGGCUGCAACCCGCCCCCAUGAAGUCGGAAUCAGUAGUAAUCGCGGAUCAGAAGGCCGCGGUGAAUACGUUCUCGGGUCUUGCACACACCGCCCGU